Saimiri boliviensis boliviensis (Bolivian squirrel monkey) is the source of this 1623-nucleotide non-coding RNA. The record is from RefSeq and is a predicted model, not a curated record. NCBI's taxonomy places the organism in Eukaryota, Metazoa, Chordata, Mammalia, Primates, Cebidae.
AAUUGCCUGGUUCGAGGCCCUGGCUGCCAGGGGGGAUGCACCCCUUUGGCUCUUCCCUGCUGAGGUGAACCGAGUGUGUCCCUGGCGCGCUGGCAAAGGCCGUGGAAUGGGCCCACCCUGAGAAUUCCAGCUUCGCCUCGUACCAGCUGGAUAACCUGGGGAGCCGCGAGCCCUCCCUGGGCCUCAGCCCCUGGAACAGUGGAGCCAACGGGAGAAACGGCCUCACCGGAUUGAUGCGGGGAUUGAGCAGGGCAUGGGCGGCGGGCAAACGCGGGUUAUUAUGACUCUACUCCUCCGGGCGUGCGUCCCAGCGCCAUCCCAUUCCCCGCCCCGCGCCCGGCCUAGACCCUCCGACCCCGCCCCUGCGCGGACCGCGAGCAGGAAUGCGAGCAGGCCCGGGGCGCGCGGACCGCCGCCGCAUUUCCGGGCCGGCGGGUGCGGGCGGCGGGGGAGGGGCAGCCAGGGCCUGCGCCGGCGGCCGAGUGACGCGCCCCCUCAUUUGCAUGCGGCGCGCCCAUUGGCCACGGCGGCCGCCGGGACGGGAGGCGGGUCCCCUCCCCCUCCCGCCGCAGCGGCGGCAGCAGCUGGGCUCGGUGUAAACAAGUCCAGGCGCCUGCGAACCCGGGCCGGGGGGGACGGCGCCCGCCAGGAGCGCCCCCCAGUCCCAGGCCAGCCCACCCCGGCGGACCGGGCCCAGCGCGCCCAGGCGAGGCACUGGGCUCCCUCUGCUCCCCGUGGGCCGCUCCCCGCGUGGGGCCACUGCCCCCGGCCCCCGCCAUGGUGCGGAUUUCAAAGCCCAAGACGUUUCAGGCCUACUUGGAUGAUUGUCACCGGAGGUAUAGCUGUGCCCACUGCCGCGCUCACCUGGCCAACCACGACGACCUCAUCUCCAAGUCCUUCCAGGGCAGUCAGGGGCGUGCCUACCUCUUCAACUCUGUGGUGAACGUGGGCUGCGGGCCAGCCGAGGAGCGGGUGCUGCUGACCGGCCUCCAUGCUGUCGCCGACAUCCACUGCGAGAACUGCAAGACCACUUUGGGCUGGAAAUAUCGAUCCUGUAGGUAGAAGCUAUUAUUAUCUCUACAGAAGAAGACAGGGAGGCCCAGAGAUGUUAGGUAACUUGGCCAAGAUCACACAACUGGAACAGGCCUUUGAGAGCAGCCAGAAGUACAAAGAGGGGAAGUACAUCAUUGAACUCAACCACAUGAUCAAAGACAACGGCUGGGACUGACCCCAGCUUCCCGACGCAUGUGGCUCCAGCCCGGCCUGGCCGCCAGGGAGCGCCACCGGCUUCCCUCCGCCCGAAGGGAGCUCUGGACCCUCAGGGCCCCUGCAGAGGACGGAUCCGGCUCCUGUACAUAUAUUUUAUUGCAUGCACUGUGACCUUGGGGGGAGAUCAGAAGGGGGACGACGCCCCCGCACCUCCUGCGAUCUGGCUGGCUUGGAUCUCGUUUUUAACCCCUUCCUACCCCGCCUGCCCUAUAGAUAUGGCCUGUGUGCUGCUCCCCUGGCCCCAGUGCACUGUCUGCUCUGUGAACUUCUCCCACCAGGCCCCUCUUACCCCACGCGUGUCUGUCCCCCUCGUUCUGUAGCGUUUGUACAUAAUAAAACAAUGGAGUGGAGACA